This 275-nucleotide ribosomal RNA is filed under the name uncultured Lachnospiraceae bacterium. RNAcentral's name for it is "partial 16S ribosomal RNA". It matches the Rfam family "Bacterial small subunit ribosomal RNA", at positions 69 to 339 of the family's 1533-position model. The record is from RNAcentral. Lineage: Bacteria; Bacillati; Bacillota; Clostridia; Lachnospirales; Lachnospiraceae.
AUUUCUUCGGAAUGACGAGGUUUGUGACUGAGCGGCGGACGGGUGAGUAACGCGUGGGCAACCUGCCUCACACAGGGGGAUAACAGUUAGAAAUGACUGCUAAUACCGCAUAAGACCACAGCACCGCAUGGUGCAGGGGUAAAAACUCCGGUGGUAUGGGAUGGACCCGCGUCUGAUUAGCUUGUUGGCGGGGUAACGGCCCACCAAGGCGACGAUCAGUAGCCGACCUGAGAGGGUGACCGGCCACAUUGGGACUGAGACACGGUCCAGACUCC